RNAcentral lists this transfer RNA (73 nucleotides) under Loxodonta africana (African savanna elephant). It matches the Rfam family "tRNA". From Rfam's summary of the family: Transfer RNA (tRNA) molecules are approximately 80 nucleotides in length. Their secondary structure includes four short double-helical elements and three loops (D, anti-codon, and T loops). Further hydrogen bonds mediate the characteristic L-shaped molecular structure. tRNAs have two regions of fundamental functional importance: the anti-codon, which is responsible for specific mRNA codon recognition, and the 3' end, to which the tRNAs corresponding amino acid is attached (by aminoacyl-tRNA synthetases). tRNAs cope with the degeneracy of the genetic code in two manners: having more than one tRNA (with a specific anti-codon) for a particular amino acid; and 'wobble' base-pairing, i.e. permitting non-standard base-pairing at the 3rd anti-codon position. The record is from Rfam by way of RNAcentral. Lineage: Eukaryota; Metazoa; Chordata; Mammalia; Proboscidea; Elephantidae.
UCCUGGGUGAGUAAAUGGUUAACAUGCUCAGCUGCUAACUGAAAGGUUGGAGGUUCGAGUCCCCUCUUAGGUG